RNAcentral lists this long non-coding RNA (3092 nucleotides) under Homo sapiens (human). Its description in RNAcentral is "long non-coding RNA NONHSAT171865.1". Lineage: Eukaryota; Metazoa; Chordata; Mammalia; Primates; Hominidae. The record is from RNAcentral.
AUCUCGCGAGAGCCGCGCGGCCCCCGAAGGCUCGCAGGCGGAAGUGAGACGCCGGAAGCGGUCGUUGCCAUGGAUCCUGGGGACGACUGGCUGGUGGAAUCCUUGCGCUUGUACCAGGAUUUCUAUGCAUUCGACCUGUCAGGAGCCACUCGAGUCCUUGAAUGGAUUGAUGACAAAGGAGUCUUUGUUGCUGGCUAUGAAAGCCUGAAAAAGAAUGAAAUUCUUCAUCUGAAAUUACCUCUCAGACUUUCUGUAAAGGAAAACAAGAUUGCUGGUUACCAGUGGCCUUCCAGGUUGUUAUCUGCAGGUGUGGCAGGUUGCAGAGGACAGUGAUGUCAUUAAAGCUGUCAGCACCAUUGCUGUGCAUGAGAAAGAGGAGAGUCUCUGGCCUAGGGUGGCCGUCUUCUCCACAUUGGCACCCGGAGUCCUCCAUGGGGCGAGGCUCCGAAGUCUGCAGGUCGUUGAUCUGGAGUCCCGGAAGACCACGUACACCUCAGAUGUCAGUGACAGUGAGGAGCUGAGUAGCCUGCAGGUCCUAGAUGCAGACACCUUUGCCUUCUGCUGUGCUUCAGGCCGGCUGGGGCUUGUUGACACCCGGCAGAAGUGGGCACCGUUGGAGAAUCGCAGCCCUGGCCCUGGGUCUGGUGGAGAGAGAUGGUGUGCUGAAGUUGGGAGCUGGGGCCAGGGCCCUGGGCCCAGCAUUGCCAGCCUUGGCUCAGAUGGGCGUCUUUGUCUUCUUGACCCCCGGGAUCUCUGCCAUCCUGUGAGCUCAGUCCAGUGCCCAGUAUCCGUACCUAGCCCUGACCCAGAGCUGCUGCGAGUGACUUGGGCCCCAGGCCUGAAGAAUUGCUUGGCCAUCUCAGGUUUUGAUGGUACAGUCCAGGUCUAUGAUGCCACAUCUUGGGAUGGAACACGGAGCCAAGAUGGAACACGGAGCCAAGUAGAACCUCUCUUCACUCACAGAGGUCACAUCUUCCUAGAUGGAAAUGGGAUGGACCCUGCUCCUUUGGUCACCACCCACACCUGGCAUCCCUGCAGACCAAGGACUUUGUUAUCAGCAACAAAUGAUGCCUCUCUGCAUGUGUGGGACUGGGUGGACCUUUGUGCCCCCCGCUGACACCAGCAUCUUUCCAUCUAGGCCUCUAGAAAGGGGAGGAGCUGCUGUAGUAGCAAGGGUGCUCAUGUAGGACUCAAGUGACUACCAGUCCCUGUUACCAGCUGUGUGGCCUUGGGCAAGUCUGCCAGCGUCACUUAGCCUCAGUUUCCUUAUCUGUAAAAUGAGGAUAGUAAGAACUACCUCGUAGUGAUAUUGCGAAGGUUAGAAGAAACGCAUGGCAUAAUUACUUGGUAGCUAUUGUUAGAUCUGGGAGUGUGAAAUGGUAGCGUUUUGUCCCUGUCUUCACACUAUCAUAGGGAGAAUCAAAAGAGCUAACAAAUAUAAACAUGCUUUGUGAAUUUUUUUAAAGAAAAAAAUGUAGAGGGGCCAAUAAACAUGAAAAAAUCCCAGCCCUAGUAGCAAUUAAGGAAAUAGCAAAACAGGAUUUCUGCUCCUCUUGAGUGGGUCUCAUGGGAACACAGGUGCACUUUCCCACACUUGUCCCCCCAGGUGACUAGGUUCAAGAGACAUUUGCUUUUGGUGGCCCCACAAACAUUUCCUUUUGAGGGCCCAUAGUGAAUAUUAAAGUGUGCUGGACAUGGUGGCUCAUGCCUGUAAUCCCAGCACUUUCAGAGGCUGAGGUGGGCAGAUUGCUUGAGCUGAGGAGUUUGAGACCAGCCUGGGCAACAUAGCAAGAUCCCUUCCCUUAAAAAAAAAAAAAAAUUUGGCUGGGCAUGGUGGCUCAUGCCUGUAAUCCCAGCAAUGUAGGCAGCCAAGACAGGUGGAUCACUUGAGUCCAGGAGUUCGAGACUAGCCUGAGCAACAUGGCGAAACCUUGUCUCUACUAAAAAUACAAGUUAGCUGGUUGUGGUGGUAUGAGCCUGCAGUCCCAGCUAUUCAAGAGGCUGAGGUGGGAGGGUUGCCUGAGCCUGGCAGUUGAAGUUUGCAGUGAGCUGUGAUCAUGCCACUGUAUUCCAGCCUGGGCAACAGAAUGAGACCCUGUUACACACACACACACAAAAUAGAUAAGUUGUUCACUCUGUCAGCAUCUAUUAGCCCUUCCCAUGUGCAACACUAAUUACAUGCUAGAAAUACAUAAAUGAGAGGCUUCCUAAGGUGGUUGAAUUUUUUUUUUUUUUUUUUUUGUAGUAGAGAUGGAGUCUUGCUCUGUCACCCAGGCUUGAGUGCAGUGGCGUGAUCUCGGCUCACUGCAACCUCCACCUCAUGGGUUCAAGCAAUGCUCCUGCCUCAGCCUGCCAAGUAGCUGGGAUUACAGGCACGUACCACCAUGCCCAGGUAAUUUUUGUAUUUUUGGUACAGACGGAGUUUCACCAUGUUGGCCAGAAUGGUCUUGAUCUCUUGACCUUGUGAUCUACCCACCUCGGCCUCCCGAAGAGCUGGGAUUACAGGUGUGAGCCACCGCGCCCGGCCAGGGGAUUUCUCCUGUGUGAAUUCGCUGGUUAAGUGAUAAUUAACUGCAGUUAAAAUUCAGGUCAAGCAUGUGGCUCAUGUCUGUAAUCCCAGUACUUUGGGAGGCUGAGGUGGGAGGAUAGCUUGAGUCCAGGAGGAGUUCGAGAUCAGCCUGGGCACCAUGGUGAACCCCUGUCUCUAAAAAAAAAGAAAGAUUUUUAUUUAAAAAACCUAAACAAAUUCAGAUAGGAAUUUAAAGAUAGACCAGGCACAGUGGCUCACGCCUGUAAUCCCAGCACUUUGUGGGGGGCCAAGGUGGGUGGAUCACUUGAGGUCAGGAGUUCAAGACCAGCCUGGCCAACAUGGUGAAACCCCGUCUCUACUAAAAAUAUAAAAAUUAGAGACGGGCAUGGUGGUGGCACACCUGUAAUCCCCACUACUCAGGAGGGUGAGGCAGGAGAAUUGCUUGAACCUGAGAGGUAGAGGCUGCAGUGAACCGAGAUUGUGCCACUGCAUUCCAGCCUGGGUGACAGGGUGAGACUCCAUCUCAAAAAAAAUAAAAUAAAGAUAAAAUCAUAAACACUCA